GACGAACCGUACGAACGUUAUUCGGAAUUACUGGGCUUAAAGGGUGCGUAGGCGGCAUCGAAAGUAGGGUGUGAAAUCCCUCGGCUUAACCGAGGAACUGCGCUCUAAACUACGAUGCUCGAGGAAGAUAGAGGUCCGUGGAACUUCGGGUGGAGCGGUGAAAUGCGUUGAUAUCCGUGGGAACACCGGUGGCGAAAGCGACGGACUGGAUCUUUUCUGACGCUGAGGCACGAAAGCUAGGGGAGCGAACGGG
RNAcentral lists this ribosomal RNA (253 nucleotides) under uncultured bacterium. Its description in RNAcentral is "partial 16S ribosomal RNA". It matches the Rfam family "Bacterial small subunit ribosomal RNA", at positions 524 to 776 of the family's 1533-position model. The record is from RNAcentral.